GUGCUUAACUGCAUUUUUUCUUACACAUGUGUUUUUCUUUUUUUGAAAACUUUGCUUUGGUAGGCCUUCUAUAUGGGGCCUGCCAGAGAUUAAACUCAACCAAAUUUUAUUUAAUGUCAACCGAUUAUUUAAUAGUCAAAACUUUCAACAACGGAUCUCUUGGUUCUCGCAUCGAUGAAGAACGCAGCGAAAUGCGAUAAGUAAUAUGAAUUGCAGAUAUUCGUGAAUCAUCGAAUCUUUGAACGCACAUUGCGCCCUUUGGUAUUCCAAAGGGCAUGCCUGUUUGAGCGUCAUUUCUCCCUCAAACCCUCGGGUUUGGUGUUGAGCGAUACGCUGGGUUUGCUUGAAAGAAAGGCGGAGUAUAAACUAAUGGAUAGGUUUUUUCCACUCAUUGGUACAAACUCCAAAACUUCUUCCAAAUUCGACCUCAAAUCAGGUAGGACUACCCGCUGAACUUAAGCAUAUCAAUAAGCGGAGGAA
RNAcentral lists this ribosomal RNA (480 nucleotides) under Candida sp. ASU7. RNAcentral describes it as "eukaryotic LSU rRNA". The stretch from base 140 to 293 matches the Rfam family "5.8S ribosomal RNA". The record is from RNAcentral. Lineage: Eukaryota; Fungi; Ascomycota; Pichiomycetes; Serinales; Debaryomycetaceae.